GCCAGAGCGUACGCCAUUGGCUGGCACCCGCUCUGCUGUGAAAUAUAAAGCGUGGCUGUGCUAGCCACAAAUGUCAGUCUGCAUUUAAACAAUCAACAAGCAGCACACAUGCUGCAGGCUCUGGGAAACACGGACCAUUGCAACACUAAGCGAUUGAAUUUCUUACAUCUCAAUAGAAACACAGGUUCCUUGUAUUUUGAGGCCAUAUACGUCAUCGCAAUGGAGGCCAUCUAGUGGUUGCUUUUGGUUACUCAGGCCCACUGAUUUAUGUCAGUCCAAUUGAUUCAGCUUUUUGUUUAAAAUCCUAAAAGGGACUGUUUGGUGCAUCAAUCUUGAAAUGAUCUUCUUAGGAUGAUCCGAAAGAAGGUUUCCAUCCACUUGAUUGACUCAUUUUGAUGCGUUUUUACUUUUAAUUUGACAAGUUGAGGUAAGUUCUUGUUGCGCUUCCCU
Rana temporaria (common frog) is the source of this 450-nucleotide long non-coding RNA. RefSeq lists it as uncharacterized. NCBI's taxonomy places the organism in Eukaryota, Metazoa, Chordata, Amphibia, Anura, Ranidae. The record is from RefSeq and is a predicted model, not a curated record. The transcript has 3 exons.